AGAUUGAACGCUGGCGGCAUGCCUUACACAUGCAAGUCGAACGGCAGCACGGGAGCAAUCCUGGUGGCGAGUGGCGAACGGGUGAGUAAUAUAUCGGAACGUGCCCAGUCGUGGGGGAUAACGCAGCGAAAGCUGUGCUAAUACCGCAUACGAUCUCUGGAUGAAAGCGGGGGACUCGCAAGGGCCUCGCGCGAUUGGAGCGGCCGAUAGUCAGAUUAGCUAGUGUGGGUAAAGGCCUACCAAGGCGACGAUCUGUAGCUGGUCUGAGAGGACGACCAGCCACACUGGAACUGAGACACGGUCCAGACUCCUACGGGAGGCAGCAGUGGGAAUUUUGGACAAGUGGGCGCAAGCCUGAUCCAGCAAGUGCCGCGUGCAGGAUGAAGGUCCGUUCGGGUUAGUAAACGU
Molecule: ribosomal RNA, 408 nt
Filed under: uncultured soil bacterium
Lineage: Bacteria
Description: bacterial SSU rRNA
Rfam family: Bacterial small subunit ribosomal RNA
Source: RNAcentral